UACGUAGGUGGCAAGCGUUAUUCGGAAUUACUAGGCGUAAAGGACAGGUAGGUUGUCAAGUAAGUUGAGAGUGAAAUCCCCUGCUUAAUCAGGGAGGGUCUUUCAAAACUGCUUGGCUUGAGUGUAGGAGGGGAAAUUGGAAUUCCUGGUGUAGCGGUGAAAUGCGUAGAUAUCAGGAGGAACACCGAUGGCGAAAGCGAAUUUCUAUCCUACUACUGACACUGAUCUGUGAAGGCGCGGGGAGC
Molecule: ribosomal RNA, 245 nt
Filed under: uncultured bacterium
Lineage: Bacteria
Description: partial 16S ribosomal RNA
Rfam family: Bacterial small subunit ribosomal RNA
Source: RNAcentral